RNAcentral lists this ribosomal RNA (244 nucleotides) under Neurospora crassa. RNAcentral's name for it is "partial 24S ribosomal RNA". It matches the Rfam family "Bacterial large subunit ribosomal RNA", at positions 2347 to 2589 of the family's 2925-position model. The record is from RNAcentral. Lineage: Eukaryota; Fungi; Ascomycota; Sordariomycetes; Sordariales; Sordariaceae.
AAGCUUAAUGGCUUAAUCUUGCCUUACUGUUUGAUUAACAACAAAUCUUACAGUCGCGUAAGCGGGCAUAGGAUCACAAGAUACAAAAAGGAAAGAUCUUGGAUUUUUGGAAAAGCUACGCUAGGGAUAACAGGCUAAUUUGCGCAAGAGUGUACAAAAUGAGUGCGCGGUUUGGCACCUCGAUGUCGGCUUGACUAAUCCUCAUGGAUGCAGAAACUAUGUAGGGUACGACUGUUCGUCGAUU